Molecule: ribosomal RNA, 524 nt
Filed under: uncultured bacterium
Lineage: Bacteria
Description: partial 16S ribosomal RNA
Rfam family: Bacterial small subunit ribosomal RNA
Source: RNAcentral
GACGAACGCUGGCGGCGUGCCUAAUACAUGCAAGUCGAGCGCAGGAAACUGACGGAACUCUUCGGAGGGAAGGCAGCGGAAUGAGCGGCGGACGGGUGAGUAACACGUAAGGAACCUGCCUCAAGGAUCGGGAUAACUCCGAGAAAUCGGAGCUAAUACCGGAUAGUUCAACGGACCGCAUGGUCCGUUGAUGAAAGGCGCUUCGGCGUCACCUUGAGAUGGCCUUGCGGUGCAUUAGCUAGUUGGUGGGGUAACGGCCCGCCAAGGCGACGAUGCAUAGCCGACCUGAGAGGGUGAUCGGCCACACUGGGACUGAGACACGGCCCAGAGUCCGACGGGAGGAAGCAGUAGGGAAUCUUCCACAAUGGACGAAAGUCUGAUGGAGCAACGCCGCGUGAGUGAUGAAGGUUUUCGGAUCGUAAAACUCUGUUGUAAGGGAAGAACACGUACGAGAGGGAAUGCUCGUACCUUGACGGUACCUUACGAGAAAGCCACGGCUAACUACGUGCCAGCAGCCGCGGUAA